AGGGCACCACCAGGAGUGGAGCCUGCGGCUUAAUUUGACUCAACACGGGAAAACUCACCCGGCCCGGACACCGUAAGGAUUGACAGAUUGAUAGCUCUUUCUUAAUUCGGUGGGUGGUGGUGCAUGGCCGUUCUUAGUUGGUGGAGCGAUUUGUCUGGUUAAUUCCGAUAACGAACGAGACUCUGGCCUAUUAAAUAGACGAUGUAUUUUCUAGUAUAUCGUUCUUCUUAGAGGGACAAGCGGCGUCUAGCCGCAUGAAAUAGAGCAAUAACAGGUCUGUGAUGCCCUUAGAUGUCCGGGGCUGCACGCGCGCUACACUGAAAGAAUCAGAGUGCGUUUCGCCUAGUUCGGAAGAACCGGGUAACCCAAGUAAAUUCUUUCGUGCUUGGGAUAGGGAAUUGCAAUUAUUUCCCUUAAACGAGGAAUUCCCAGUAAAUGCGGGUCAUAAGCUCGCGUUGAUUACGUCCCUGCCCUUUGUACACACCGCCCGUCGCUACUACCGAUUGGAUGACUUAGUGA
RNAcentral lists this ribosomal RNA (519 nucleotides) under uncultured eukaryote. RNAcentral's name for it is "SSU rRNA". It matches the Rfam family "Eukaryotic small subunit ribosomal RNA", at positions 1161 to 1704 of the family's 1831-position model. The record is from RNAcentral.